RNAcentral lists this ribosomal RNA (511 nucleotides) under uncultured bacterium. RNAcentral's name for it is "bacterial SSU rRNA". It matches the Rfam family "Bacterial small subunit ribosomal RNA", at positions 15 to 518 of the family's 1533-position model. The record is from RNAcentral.
GAUCAUGGCUCAGGAUGAACGCUAGCGACAGGCCUAACACAUGCAAGUCGAGGGGCAGCGCGGGAGAAGCUUGCUUUUCCUGGCGGCGACCGGCGCACGGGUGCGUAACAGGUGUGCAAUCUGUCCAUAGUCGGGGGAUAGCCCAGCGAAAGCUGAAUUAAUACUCCAUGUGAAUCGAAGCCGCAUGACUUUGAUUUGAAACGCAAGGACUAUGGGUGAGCACGCUUCUGAUUAGGUAGUUGGUGGGGUAACGGCCCACCAAGCCGACGAUCAGUAGGGGUUCUGAGAGGAAGGUCCCCCACAUUGGAACUGAGACACGGUCCAAACUCCUACGGGAGGCAGCAGUGAGGAAUAUUGGUCAAUGGGCGAGAGCCUGAACCAGCCAAGUCGCGUGAAGGAUGAAGGUUCUAUGGAUUGUAAACUUCUUUUGUCCGAGGGUAAAAAAGGCCACGUGUGGCUUCUUGCAAGUAUCGGACGAAUAAGCAUCGGCUAACUCCGUGCCAGCCGCUGC